GAUGAAGAACGUAGUGAAAUGCGAUACGUAAUGUGAAUUGCAGAAUUCAGUGAAUCAUCGAAUCUUUGAACGCACAUUGCGCCUGCCAGCACUCUGGCAGGCAUGCCUGUUCGAGCGUCAUUUCAACCAUCAAGCCCUAGGCUUGCGUUGGAGCCCUGCGGCUGCCGCAGGCCCCUAAAAGCAGUGGCGGGCUCGCUAUCACACCGAGUGCAGUAGAUUACUCUUCGCUCAGGGCGUGUGGCGGGUUCCAGCCGUGAAACCCCCUACUUCUCAAGGUUGACCUCGGAUCAGGUAGGAAUACCCACUGAACUUAAGCAUAUCAAUAAGCGGAGGA
RNAcentral lists this unclassified non-coding RNA (334 nucleotides) under soil metagenome. RNAcentral's name for it is "partial contains 5.8S ribosomal RNA, internal transcribed spacer 2, and large subunit ribosomal RNA". The stretch from base 1 to 120 matches the Rfam family "5.8S ribosomal RNA", at positions 35 to 154 of the family's 154-position model. The record is from RNAcentral.